RNAcentral lists this long non-coding RNA (266 nucleotides) under Malus domestica (apple). Its description in RNAcentral is "long non-coding RNA (MDOM_LNC004896)". Lineage: Eukaryota; Viridiplantae; Streptophyta; Magnoliopsida; Rosales; Rosaceae. The record is from RNAcentral.
AAUUGAAGAAAUUUUCAGACCAAGUUUUUUGAAUUGUGGGAUUAAAUUGGAAAAUACUAAGAUAGAAUAAAGAGCUGAUCCGGAAAAAUGAAGGGACGUUAAUUGAAAAGAUUGAAAAGUUGAAUUUUCUGGAAAAGUUUUGGGUUCUUGGUUUCUGCAGAUUCACGGCGGAGGUGAAAAAUUGAGAGAGAACCGACAUAACUUUUUGUGUCGAUUCCCACAGACGGCGCCAAAUGUUGAUGCACAAAAUCGGAUGGGUCUUGGAA